UCAGGCCUAACACAUGCAAGUCGAGCGCGCCUUCGGGUGAGCGGCGGACGGGUUAGUAACGCGUGGGAAUAUGCCCAAAGGUAGGGAAUAGCCUCUGGAAACGGAGAGUAAUACCCUAUGUGCCCUUCGGGGGAAAGAUUUAUCGCCUUUGGAUUAGCCCGCGUUAGAUUAGGUAGUUGGUGGGGUAAUGGCCUACCAAGCCUACGAUCUAUAGCUGGUUUUAGAGGAUGAUCAGCAACACUGGGACUGAGACACGGCCCAGACUCCUACGAGAGGCAGCAGUGGGGAAUCUUGGACAAUGGGGGCAACCCUGAUCCAGCCAUGCCGCGUGAGUGAUGAAGGCCCUAGGGUCGUAAAGCUCUUUCGCCAGGGAUGAUAAUGACAGUACCUGGCAAAGAAACCCCGGCUAACUCCGUGCCAGCAGCCGCGGUAAUACGGAGGGGGUUAGCGUUGUUCGGAAUUACUGGGCGUAAAGCGUACGUAGGCGGAUCGGAAAGUUGGGGGUGAAAUCCCGGGGCUCAACCCCGGAACUGCCUCCAAAACUAUCGGUCUAGAGUUCGAGAGAGGUGAGUGGAAUUCCGAGUGUAGAGGUGAAAUUCGUAGAUAUUCGGAGGAACACCAGUGGCGAAGGCGGCUCACUGGCUCGAUACUGACGCUGAGGUACGAAAGUGUCGGGAGCAAACAGGAUUAGAUACCCUGC
This 700-nucleotide ribosomal RNA is filed under the name uncultured bacterium. Its description in RNAcentral is "bacterial SSU rRNA". It matches the Rfam family "Bacterial small subunit ribosomal RNA", at positions 42 to 790 of the family's 1533-position model. The record is from RNAcentral.